CUCUGACAACUUCUCUGGCUCAGGC
This 25-nucleotide non-coding RNA is filed under the name Cricetulus griseus (Chinese hamster). The record is from RNAcentral. Lineage: Eukaryota; Metazoa; Chordata; Mammalia; Rodentia; Cricetidae.